RNAcentral lists this ribosomal RNA (253 nucleotides) under uncultured bacterium. Its description in RNAcentral is "partial 16S ribosomal RNA". It matches the Rfam family "Bacterial small subunit ribosomal RNA", at positions 524 to 776 of the family's 1533-position model. The record is from RNAcentral.
UACGUAGGGGGCUAGCGUUGUCCGGAAUCAUUGGGCGUAAAGAGCGUGUAGGCGGCCCGGUAAGUCCGCUGUGAAAGUCGGGGGCUCAACCCUCGAAUGCCGGUGGAUACUGUCGGGCUCGAGUGCGGAAGAGGCGAGUGGAAUUCCUGGUGUAGCGGUGAAAUGCGCAGAUAUCAGGAGGAACACCAAUUGCGAAGGCAGCUCGCUGGGACGUUACUGACGCUGAGGAGCGAAAGCGUGGGGAGCGAACAGG